AAACCAACCGGGAUUGCCUUAGUAACGGCGAGUGAAGCGGCAAAAGCUCAAAUUUGAAAUCUGGUACCUUCGGUGCCCGAGUUGUAAUUUGGAGAGGGCAACUUUGGGGCCGUUCCUUGUCUAUGUUCCUUGGAACAGGACGUCAUAGAGGGUGAGAAUCCCGUGUGGCGAGGAGUGCGGUUCUUUGUAAAGUGCCUUCGAAGAGUCGAGUUGUUUGGGAAUGCAGCUCUAAGUGGGUGGUAAAUUCCAUCUAAAGCUAAAUAUUGGCGAGAGACCGAUAGCGAACAAGUACAGUGAUGGAAAGAUGAAAAGAACUUUGAAAAGAGAGUGAAAAAGUACGUGAAAUUGUUGAAAGGGAAGGGCAUUUGAUCAGACAUGGUGUUUUGUGCCCUCUGCACCUUGUGGGUAGGGGAAUCUCGCAUUUCACUGGGCCAGCAUCAGUUUUGGUGGCAGGAUAAAUCCAUAGGAAUGUAGCUUGCCUCGGUAAGUAUUAUAGCCUGUGGGAAUACUGCC
RNAcentral lists this ribosomal RNA (513 nucleotides) under uncultured Saccharomyces. Its description in RNAcentral is "eukaryotic LSU rRNA". It matches the Rfam family "Eukaryotic large subunit ribosomal RNA", at positions 62 to 578 of the family's 3401-position model. The record is from RNAcentral. Lineage: Eukaryota; Fungi; Ascomycota; Saccharomycetes; Saccharomycetales; Saccharomycetaceae.